UACGAAAUAUCAUUUGAUAUUUACCACUAGCUUUUCGGUGAAGGAAAACAUCGUGAGGAAACCUGUAUACAUCUGCGAAUAAAUUCAAAGGUGUAUGUGAAGUCCCCAAUCCGCAUUGGGCUAGCGUGGGGAUAUAGCCCAAGCCCUCUCGCGCAUGAGAGGAGGCCUGUGCCCAGCAGUGGGACGUAUAUAGGCUGAAUUAUUAUUAUUAUUAUUUUAUAAAUGGAUUGUUAUGUUUUCAUAUAGAGGGUAGAUGUCAUUUACGGCAGUCUGUAUCUGAGCAUUAAACGUAGCACAUCAGUGUCUUA
Molecule: long non-coding RNA, 308 nt
Organism: Cydia amplana
Lineage: Eukaryota; Metazoa; Arthropoda; Insecta; Lepidoptera; Tortricidae
Exons: 2
Source: RefSeq, a predicted model, not a curated record